This 381-nucleotide ribosomal RNA is filed under the name Triticum aestivum (bread wheat). RNAcentral describes it as "partial small subunit ribosomal RNA". Lineage: Eukaryota; Viridiplantae; Streptophyta; Magnoliopsida; Poales; Poaceae. The record is from RNAcentral.
AUGUUGUUAUUGCAGGAAAACAGGAGAGUUGAUGCACCAAUGGCAGCUCCAUCUGCUCCAGCAGCAGCAAGGGAAAGAGCUCCUUUUGCAACCAGUGCAACAGCAAGGACAGCUCCACCAGCAGCAAGGGCAAGAGCUCCAGCUGCAGCUAGGACUGCAACUAGGGCUAUACCUAGGGCAGCUCCUUCUGCUCCUGCUCCAACAAGGCCAAGUUCAUCUUCUGCUGCUGCUGAUAGGCCUAGUUCAUCUUCUGCUACUGCUGCUAGGUCAAGGGCAAAGAAAACAUUCAUACCACCAAGACUGUCAGGUACUGGAAGAGUGAGAAAGCCAUCAUACAAGAUGUCUGAAUGGUUCAAUUGUUCUCAAGGCAGCAAGAAGUGA